UGUUAGGAUUAAAGGCUUGCACAACCACCACCACCUGGCAUUGGUUUUUUCACAAUACCCAAUAAACUUAUAAAUCUCAAAGUACAGGAAAUUCAUAUACUAAUCUUGAGAUCUUGAGAAAUCUUAGUAAACAUUUUAGGCAGUUUAAUGAAACUAGUAGUCUAAUUGGUUUUAGCUGUUCUGCCUUGCUUUUUUUCCCCUACCACAAAGUCAGAAACUUUACAACUCCAGAGCCAGCUUUUUAAUACAGAAGAACAACAUAAAAUAAUAUUUCAAUAUUAUCAUUACCCCAAAAGACAUUUGGAUUCCUGCUAAACUGAUUUACAGUGACCAAAAAGCUCAGAGGUAAGGAAUUCUGAACCCUGGCUAUCAAAGUAGCCAUGGCACAUAGAGGCAGUGGAUUUGGGCCAGGGAGGUGGGAGUACACAAAGCUGCCCUGAUUUAUCAGGACUUCUUGAGGAAGACAGGAUGCCAGGCUCCUUGAGGCUGACAAAUGACCCUACAGUAGGAGAGGAGAGUGGCAGGCAGGCGGACAUGUAUGAAGGUCCCAGAAGACUCUCUGAGGACGUUUUAGAUUUCUUAAUUUCCUUUCUUCAUUUCAGAGCAGUCUCAUUUCUCUUGAUGGUAAGUUUCUUCUCUAGCCUGCCUGGACAUCUAUCCUGCCCCUCCGCAAGCAGAUAGAGCCCCACCCCAAAAUGAACAGAUUGAGGCUCAGACAAGACUUGCUUCCUCCAUUGCAGGUACUGCCAAUGCUGAGGGCAUUCUGUACUGUUGGCUGAGCUCUGCAGUGCCACCAGAACAUUUCUGUCCAGGAUUUGGCUUUAUUACCUAGAUAGGACAGGCUGAGGUCCAGGGUGCAGUCUGUGGGCUGGAGUAUGAGAGACAGCAGCUGCUGGCCAGCCUCUUUUUAACAAGUAUUUGUAUGUUUAACGCUCAUGUGAUGGCCCUUCUCCUCCCUGCCCCUGCUUUCAUCCACCUGUUCUCCCCAAGGUUUAAUCAAGAAUACUUAUCAGAGUGGCACAGCCUUAGCUUUCAAAGGUCAACUCCCAAAAUGGGCUAGAUGAAAACCUUAGACUGAGCACGGACUACCAAGAACUAGAUGUCAAUACCAGAGUCAGCCUUCGUGCCAAGGACUCUGCUUCAGUUUAGGAAAUCUGUCUAGCUCCAACUGCCCUUCUUUCUUUGGAGUUGGCCUCACCAUUCUGGUGAGAUAGCUUGAACCAUCUCCAAAGGGAUUAUGCAGGGCUUAGAAUAGAUCUCAAGGGCUGGCCUGGAGCUAGAAUGAGAGACCCCUUUCUAGAACUUCUUGAAUGCUUAGUUUUAACAGAACACACGUAGGAACUCUAUGGAAGGCAUAGUAGAGGCUUGCCUCUAUGAGCUUAAGCUAUAGGGAGGACUGACCCCUAGACAGGGAUGCAGCUCUGUGAUAAGAGUACUUGAAGGGAAGAUUUCCCAAAGGCAGAGCCAUUGUUGCUUCUUGAAGAGAGAUUUUGGUAUGUGUUGGAAAAGAAUACAGAUGGAUUUAAAAUUCAGGCUGGGCAGGGCAGUGGUGGUAACACCUUUACUCCCAGCACUUAGGAGGCAGAGGCAGGCAGGCUAGAGAGCUCUAAGACCUCCUGUGAGCUAGCGCUGACUGUCCCUUUUCUGAAGAUAGGAGGUAUCCAUGGGAUACUGUGAGAACCUUGACAGGGGCUUGUCAGAGUGGCAUCUGUACCAUGCUAGCCACUGCUUUUCCAGUACACCUAGAAAGAGUGGCAGUGGAGCAGGGCAGUCUGUGUGGCGGCGCUGUGAGCCUGCUGCUGCUCGGACUGUGGCUGAGCUGACAGUGCUGCUGCACGUGUCCAGGCUUCCGCUGCUGUUGCUCAGAAACUCACAUUGCUGAAUUCUUUUAUUUCCCAUACUAUGUUAAUUUGAGCAAACCAAAAAUUGAACUUUAUCUAAUAUUUUUAAAUUCCCAGAAAAGUAUGUUUAUAUUUUGUGUAAUGGUGUUGUUUAGAAGAUGGGAACUAUUUCUUUGGAUUAAACAAUUUGAAAUUUGAUUAUCUGUGGCCCUAAUUAGUUUACUGGGGCAGAGGUGAGUGUUUAUGGAAUAGUAAUAGGGUAUAUUUGUAACAGUCCAUCCUCCAUCCCCACCCCAGGAGUAUGGAAAGAAAGAGAUCUCCUGGGCCUAGCAAUAGCUUCCAUAUUUCCAGAACACCUUGAUUCGACUUCUCUGGUUUCUCCUCUCCUGCGUUUGCUAGCUCUGCUUUAGACAGAGGAGCAGAGGUUGUUUACUGUCUCUCAUGCUGAGAGUUAAGAAGAUACAGGAGUUUUAGUCUAGUAAUUGGGUAGAGAAGAAAACCUGCUUUUGCUCCCCCACCCCCACCCCCCUUAAGUUAAGUUCUGUUGUGUACAUUGUUUGCUCUCAGCUACAUAUAGAGAACUGGAGAGCAAGCCAGCCUGGACUGUAUGACACUGCCUCAAAACAAACAAACGUAGGCCAGUGGAGAGAUAACCUAAAACACUAUCAUAUGCUGAGGACCGCGAGAGGACAAAGUAAUGUGGCAUUUGGAGGCUGUGGAUGUGAAGGGAAGCACUCCUCAGGUAGACUAGACUCAAGUCUCUCCAGGCUGGCUGUCUUCCUCUGUUUUCUACAUUUUGUCUUGGAUUUAGAUCCACACAGUGGGGUAGGUGGCUCUCUCUGCAGGGUGAUUAGAAUUGUUUGGCUUCAAAUCUAGGACUUUCCCCACCAAUUUUAAAACUUUAUCUGACUGUGAUUAAGCCAAUCAGUUAGUGUUUUGGUUUCAUAGUUACUAGACAAAAUGUUCCUUUCUUUCCUCCCUAUUUUUUGCUUGUGUGCAUAUGGUGUGUGUGUCUGCACAGGUUUAGGGAUGUGUGUGGAGGCCAGAGGUGUCCUCCUUAGUUGCUACCUUCUUUAUUUUUGUGUGUGUGUAUGUGCACGUGAGUGUUUGAUGUGUAUGUGGAGGCCAGAGGAUGUCAGGUGUCCUGCUCUACCACGCUAUUCCCUUGAGACAGGGUCUCUUAGUGAACCUGGAGUUAGACUGGUAGUCAGCAAACCCAGCAGUGUUCUUGUGUGUGCCUCCUAUGGUUCUGGGAUUAAGGCUUACACAUGGCCAUGUCCCUGGGUGCUGGCCAUUUGAGCUCAGGUCCUCAUGCUUGUGUAACAAAUACUCUUAACCUUCAGCUUCUACUUGAGCUUUUGAGACAGGGUCUCUCAUAAACAUGGAGUUCACUAAUGGCUAGGCUACGAGUGAGCUCUAGAAAUCUGCUUGUCUUUGCUACUCUAGCACUGGGAUUGUAGACACCAUCAUUCAUUAUUUAUUUAUGAGGGGUCAGGGGGUCUGAACUCAGGCUUCAUACUUGUGCAACAAGAACUUUAUCCAGUGAGCCAUCUCCCUUACCCCACUCUGGUUUUCAUGCUCACAGCUUGUCUUCCUUUUCCCUCAUAGUCUGCCUUUGUUGUCUCCUUUCCUGCCUUGCUAUAAUGGCCUCUAUCUGCAGUUGAGUGGCAGGUGGCAGGGAUGGAUAGAUGGGAUGUAUGUAGCUGAGGGAAUAUUUUCUCAAUUCUGUUAGCAUCAAAGAAAUGACUUCCAAGCCAGUCCUUCCAGCCAUGCAUUUCACUGAUCAGUCAGAAUGAGAGGAAAAACACAUUAGCAUUGCCAGAGAGGGGAUUUGGGGAAAAUCAAGUCUGUGAAACUGAGUGAUCUAAAGUCAUAGCAUUAAAAACAAAUCUUGAAGUGUAGCUGGAACGUUUCCUAGUCUGUCUCCUGUGGCCAGGUCCCUUGAUGGAUACCUGCUGUGCUGUACGGAAUGGUAUGUGCUCAGCCUGGAACAACCUCAGGCUGAAGAGGGGGCACUAGCCUGUGUUGCCUAUCAUUAGACCUUCUGAGUAUGACACAGGGAACCAGCAAUCCCAGAGGGUUAUUUUUCUUUUAAAACAGAGUUAUGUUUUAAUUAUAUGUAUAUGAGUGUGUGCAGCAUGUGCACACAAAGUGCCUGGGGAGGCUAGAAAUAGGUAUGAUCUCCUGACACACGGUCUGCAGGUUAUGUGCUGCCCAGUGGGACUGGGACUGGAACCAGGGUUCUCUGCCAGAGCCCCAAGAGCCUUUUAAGUGAGUUUCAGUUUUAAAGCCUGUGACUUUCCUGGCUCUCCAUAUUUGCAAAGGUCUUGUAAAAUAUAAGCAUUCUCUUGAGUUAAGCAUGCCUUCAUGAUCCUUAUAUUUCCCCUGCCUUACGCGGGUCCAGAGUGAGGACCCUGGAGAACAGCCUCUUUGUCCUAGACUAGCAAUCCCCUUCUUAUUAAGAGAAAGAAACUUUGCGGUUGUGAAGACUAAAACUUAAAUGAAAAUUUUCCCCUUUAGAAAAGAAAAACAAGCCUAACAGUGCCCCCUCCCCUCCUUGGGCGUGAGCAGGGGGCAGCACCUGGGAGUGUUGGCAUUUGGUGGCUGUUGCAGUACUCUGAAUGUCAUAGCUGCCUAGGUUCAUGCUUUGACCUGAGUCUUAGAGCUAUGUAGCCUUGGGCAAGUUACUUAAUUCACCAAGAUCUAAUCAAAUAUAUAAUGAAAUAUUUUUCUCAUUAAAAAGGAGUCUGGUGGUGGAAGAGGGGAGAUUGCUCAGCAGUUAAGAGCACUUACUGAUCUUGCAGAAAACCCAAGUUCAGUUCCUAGCACUCACAUCAGGUAGCUCAGAACUUCCUAUAACUCCAUUUCCAGGGUAUCCUACUCCCUCUUUUUGCUUCUGUGGGCACCUGUAUGUGUGUGGUACAUAUAAACUCAUUUGUCACCCCUCCACACACAGAUACACACAAAAGUAAGAAUAUUCUUUUAAUAGAAAGAUGCCCAUCUAUAAAAUGCAGUGAAAAAUCAACUAAUAUUUAUUGAGAAAAUAAUAUGAAUAUGGCAUUAUAGUAAAUACUUAAUAUUUCCAAAAUAGAUAUUAACUUCUCUUGUUUCUAUUGUGUUAAAAUUGGGUAGCUAUCAGACAAAUUAAAAUUGAGGCAAGAGCUGAAAGGGUGGCUCAGUGGUACAGCACUUGCCCGGUUCAACACUGUAGAAUAACAGAUUCCAGGGUAUAAUCUGAAAACAACUGGUAAGUACUCGUCAAGUCAAGCAUGACAGACACUGCCGUGUGUAGGUUAAGAAUAUCAAGUGUGAGAACUGUGAGGGAGGUGUAGUGGCAACCACCUUUAAUCCCAGCACUCAGGAGGCAGAGGCAGGCAGUGUCUCAAAAAACAAAACAAGGAGGUAGGGGUGAGGAGAGGUGGGAGGGAGAGGUGUAAAUAUGGGGCUGCAGAGAUGGCCCAGUGUUAGGAAACAUGCUGAGCAUCCAUGAGGACUUGAGUUCAGAUCCCAUCACCCAUGUGACAAGCCCGGUGUCCCACAGAUGUCUGUAACUCCAGUUCUGAGGGAUCUAGUACCAUCUUUCGAUAAAUGUGCAUGUAUAGGCGUGUCCACCUGCACACAUGGAGAGGCAUACAUUCACACGGGCACAUACACAUACGAAUAAAUAUAAAUCUUACAACGUGUCAGACACUGAGAACUGUCACAGGCUGGAGGAUACUAAGAAGACAAGAAAACUAAAUGCAGUGUCAUAUCUUAGAUGACAUUCUGGGACAGAAAAAAAGUGGACAAUUGGUGAAAUCCUAGCAUCCUACUGCUCUAUCAGUAGUAAUUUCUUAGAUUUGGAAAUUGAUUUAUAGCUAUGUAAGAUAUUACUAUCAGGGGAAUCAGGUGAAGGGUGUGUGAUAACUGUACUUUUUUUUUCUGCUACUUUUCUGGAAGUCCAAAAUUCCUUCAGAAUAAAAAGCUAAAGUACAGUAAGUGCAUGUCUAGGAUACCUAUUUGGUGAAAAAGGAAUAGACCACAACGUAGCCUAGUGUAGCAAAUGACCUCUGAUUCCAUCUCAUUCCCUAUGGCAGAGUGAGGGCCAUUACCAGCCUCUUUUGUGCCUGUGCAUCUCCAGUAUCCUUAGGAGAUGGCUACUCUAGGCAGGUGAUUGGUCAGAUAGCAAUGCAGACAAGCACCUCGUUCUGAUCUGGUAGCCGUGCUGUACGUCUGCUGGUGAGGAGGGCGUUCAUUUAGUAUUAGAACUCUGCAGAUCUGAGUGAUCAGGGCAAUCCCCUAAGUCCCUUGAUAUAAUUUAAAUUCUGCCUGUUUUAUCCCUCUGUCUGAGCACCCAGUCACUAUGGCAAUAUGUUUGCAGAUUGCAGCUCCUACCCCACGCUCACUGUGUUUGAUCAUCCAGAAGAAAGAAAGAUAAGUUCAAAUCCAGCUUUGCAAUAAUUUAUUUUCUUUCCUUUCCUGUUUUAAGUGCCUUGCUCUUUCACGAAGCAGGUGUUUGCUGCUUUUCUUGAGUGCAGAAGCUACGUGUGCUCUUCUUAAGACUGAUGUGGCCAUCUCUGUCACACUAAUAACAGGGUGUGUAGAAGAACACCAUUAUUAGCGUUGGGAGAAUGUUCUCUUCAGUCAGGAUUGACCUCUGGUAGCUAGACAGCUUCCUAUAUCUUCGGGGCUUCAUUGGUGGACUCACGUUAACAGCUGAAGUCUGGAGGUAUUUGUGUGCUCGUCAUGUGUUGUGGUAAGUGCAGUGACGGUGUAGCAGAAUGCUUUGGCCCACUUGGGAACCAGUCUUACCACCAGCCACUCCAGGGUCUGAUUUCCAGUGUCCUUGUUCUUCUUAGGGUGUUGACAUGGCAAGGUCACGAGGCCUUGUGUUGGAUGUGAGUGAGCUGCUGCUGAUAUUGGGUUCUUCCUGUGAGUUCUUCUGACGCAGGACCAGGUGUGGUAUUUUUCAUCAGAGCCACUGGCAAGCGCCUGUUGAAACAACAUGCGUGUGGUUAGGUCAGCACAGUGGACAUACCAAAUUAGAUUUUCCUCCUCCUCACUGGCUUCUAUAGGAUUUCUUCCCAUUUCUGGCCUCAGCUAACUGACUUACUCCAGGUUCUGGAGGCUUCCUAGCCCUGCAGUAAGUCUCAUUUGGCAAUGACACUAUCUUUUAUAGGGAUGCAGUUAUUGAAUGCCUUUGAAAUGAACUUUACAGAUAUUCUAAGUGCUCAUGGGAGGCUCUUCCCUUCCCUGGUAUAAUACCUAUGCUUCUUCCUAUAUGAAUUACUAUGUUUUUCAUUCUAAACAUGGUUGGCAGUGACUUGGGGGAUGGAAGCGGGGAUUUGCUUUCUUCUGCACCAGGAGUGAAGUAUGUCUAAUUUCAUUUUCAUACUCUGUUUCUGAGCGGAACCCAGUCCUCUGUGUCCAUGUUUAGUACUGCUGUGUUGCUGGACUCUCCUAGCAAAAAUUAGGCUAAUGUCUCCAACGACUACAUUAGGCAGCAAAAUGAGGUUCUAAAUUGUAGGUACUAUACCAAGGCUCUCUCCAAGGCAUAGCCUUGUUCUGGUUUUUAUUAUUCAAAUUCAUUCUCUCAAUGAUUCUCUGCAGACUGACUGGCAUACUGGUUCAGUGCAGUGCAUUAUACUAGCUGAAAGGCAAGAUCACCUUUUUAGAAGAGGGAGAAAAAAAAGAAAAAAGCAAAAGAUGAAUCCUGUGGUGCUCAGAGUCAGCACUAAUCUAGUCUAAGCUUCUAGUGGGUCUUUGUGAUGCCUAGGAGGCAGAAGAGAAGUGCCCAAUCCUAGAUCGCGGCCAGGGAGGCAUUGAGUGGGGCAGCAGCAUUGUACCAGUGAUACCUGCUGUCUGUUUGUGGCACCUUCUUUCCAUCUCUGUAUAUUUGCCACUAGGGUAUAUGAUUAGCUGGGUGUUGGGUAUCGGAAUUCAAAGUCACAGGUCUGAGGAUCUUGCCCAUCAGGAGCUAUAGUCCUGGAAAUUCACCAGUUGCUUCUGUCUUGGCUGUGGGGUUAUGUGGGGAGGGCACAGGGGUAAGUGGGAGCUGUGAGAGGGGGCUGUGCUGGGGCCAAGUCUUAGGAUGCUUGCAUUUUAUACAUGAAGUAGGAGCCUCUUGGCAGUUGGAUACCUAGAGAGUUGAAAACUUGGCUCUUAUAUGUUUGUUUCUUAAAAUGACUCUCUUCCACCCCCAGUGAGGAAAAAGUAGUAAGUAUUCAAAGCAGAAAACUUAGAAAACAGAAAAACACAAAGAGAAACUUAACAAAACAACAGCGAGUUGCCCAAGUCCUACUGUACAGCUGUAAAAUGAACACUUUGGCACUGUUGCUCCACUGUGUUUACCAGCAUUCUCCCAUUCUGAGCUUACUGUUGUAAGGCUGGUGCCUUCCUUUCAUGGACGAAGAGCGGUUUAAGCCAAGCUUGAUGGUAUCCGUCUAAUCUUGGCACCUGGGAGGCUGCCAGAGGAUCAUUCAUGAGCUUGAGCUCAGCCUGGGCUAGCUACAUAGUAAGUUCCUACCCAUCCUAGGCUACAAAGCAAGAUCCUGUUUUACAAAAAAAAAAAAGAAAAAGAAAAAAAAGAAAAAAAAAGAAAAACAAAGAAAGAAAGAAUGAAAGAAGGAAGGAAAGGAAGGAAGGAAAGGGAAAAAGAAUAGACAGAAAGAAAAAAUGAAAGAAAGCAAAGAAGAAAAGAGGAAGAAAGCAGGGGCUAGUGGCAGAGCUCAGUUGAGUGCUUAUCUCAUAUGCACAGCCCUGGGUUUAAUCCUUAGCACCACAUAAACUGGGCAUGGUGAUGCAUACCCGUAAUCUCAACACCAACAGGGGCUGGAAGUUCAAGACCAUCCUCCGCUAAAUAAUAAGUUCCAGGCCAGUCUGGGUUACAUGAAAUUCUAUUUCUAAAUGGAUGAAUAAAUGAAGGAAUGAAUGAUGAAGGCUAGUCUGGGCUACAUGAGAUUCUAUUUCUUAAUGAGUGAGUAAAUGAAUGAAUGAAUGAAUGAAUAACAAAACAAGGGCUGGCUAGAAUGCGUAGUAGGUUAAUGCUCUUGGUGACAAGUCUGAUAAUCUGAGUUCAGUUCCUGGGACCCAUAUGGUGGAAGGAGAGAACCAACUCCUGCAAGUUGUCCUCUGACCCAGGCCAUGGACUAGCAACCCUGCAUAAAUAAAUAAACGUAAUAGUAUGACAGAAGAGGUUUUUUGUUUGCUUGUUCUUGUUUGUUUGUUUGUUUGUUUGGAGACAGGGUUUCUCUGGCUGUCCUGAAACUCCCUCUGUAGACCAGACUGUCCUCUAACUCAGAUUCAUCUGCCUCUGCCUCCCACGUGCUGGGAUUAAGUGCCCCCCCACCACUACAUAGCAAGAGAGAUUUUUUUUUAAAUUUGUGUGUGUGCACACUCAUGCAAACACACACACACACACACACACACACACACACACACACACACAUGCAUAGACACACACAUGCACACAUGCAUACACACAUACCACCUGUGUGUGGUUAUCUGAGGAAGCUAGGAGAGGGUGUCAGAUUGUGUGGAGCUGGAGUCACAGGUAAGCAACAGGAAUGCUGGGACUCAAACUCCAGAGCUCUGCAGUAGCAGCAGAAGUCACCCAUUACCAUUGCUAAGCCAUCUCUCCAUUCCCGAGACAGAGAGUCUUGAAGGCUAGGGCCUCCGGUGUGUGAUUAAGUCUGUGGUGGGCAUUUUCUGGGUGUAGGAAUUCUUAGUGACAUUCUUAUAUAUAUUUUCAUAUAUUCUCUAAGUUCUUAGAAAGGGAAUACAAAAGUAGAAGCACUCGUAUUUUCCAAUUUUUUUUUUUUGGCGGGGGCGGGGGUGGCCUGGUAUCUCAACAGGGUAACAUCUUUUCAGAGCUGCGCAUGUAUCGGGCACACACAAGGUUUUGAGUAUUUCUCAGCCUGUUUUGCAUCACACAUCGGACUCCUUGAGAUACAGUCUCUUUAUAGUCCCUGGAUUGUUCUGGUUUGACUGGGAAACAGCCGGCUUCUAAUGAGUCAGGGCAGCAAGUGCAAAACACAUAUCCUUACUGUCUUGUGCCAAGAUUGUAAUGUCCCUGGGGACAGAGACAUUGUCAUCAACCUAUUUGUCUGUAAACAGUUAUUGAAUGACUGUAUAGUCAGAGGGGAAGAUACAAAGAAGGCCCCUGCCACAUACAAGUUUUGAUGUCUGGAUAAGAGAGUUGACAUGAAGCCUCAUUAUUUGUGAGCACUCACUAUGGGUCGAGAACUAACUGAGAUGUGGUUGAGGGGAGGGAGGAUGAUGGCACAGAGAAGGCUGCUUUCCUCUUCCUCCUCCUCGUCGUCUCUCCCUCUCCCUUUCUUUCUUCUCUCCCUCUAGUUUUAGGUAAAGUUCACUAGCCAUAUAGGGUACUAAGUGACAUAUAGACACAAAUGCUAUAGGGUUGGUUAUAGGCAUUGUGGCACUAAGGCUAUUUUGGAAAGGAAGCUCAUUGUACUAGAUAAAUUUCAGAGAGAAGAUAGGACAAUAGUUGUGGCCUAAAAAUAGCUGGAAUUUGAUGAAGUGGAGUGGAGAGGGUUUUCCAUGUGCGUGAUGGCAGUAAUGAUUGUUUAAUAAUGACUGCCAGCUGUAGAGCAUGUGGAGCAGAGAGAGGGUGCAGGGUUGUAAGGGACCAGAGAAAGAAGAGGUGCAUAUCGGAAGCACUCAGACUUCAGAACCCAUAGCUGUAGCGAGAAGAAAGCUCCAACUUUGUCAUUGAUCAAAGCUUCAGUUUCUCGAAGAACCACAGUGCCUCCAGGCCCAUCCUUGGACUUUGUCUACCUUUAUCUGUUCAUACUGUGUCCUUGGUGAGCUCAGCUAGCCAGACAUAUCUUUAUGUCUGUAUGCUGAUGACUCCCAAUUUAUUUGUUUAUCUUCAAAUCUCUAAGCCUGACUUCUCUGAACUCGAGAUCUCUCUGCCUACUAUACAAUUUCUACUUGAGUGAGUGAUUAAAAUUUAUUGUUUCUAUAGCUGAAUUCCUGUAACUUUCCCCACUUCAGUUAAGGCAAGUCUCCAUUCUGUCAAUUAUCACAUCAGAAGUUUUGCAGCCAUUCUCUGUUCUUUCUCUAACUUCUGAAAGCAAAUCCUGAAAACUGUCUUCAAAAUAUAUCCCAAAUUUGACUGAUUCUCAUCACUCUAAAUAGCUACCAUCGUCUCUUACCUGCUUAUUAUGGUCGACUCCAUUCUGGCCCUCCUCCUUCCCUUAUUGCCAACAGUCAAUUCUCAGCACAGUAGCCAGUGGUCCUGUUGCUUUAUUUCCUGUGCUGAAAAAUACCCUUUGAUGCUCCUUCUUACAUAAAGAAUAAGCCCAUCCCUGGUCUACGACAUCCACUGAUGUGGGCUCUACCUCACCAUUACCUCUGUAAUUUAAUUUGGUAAUACCCUUCCAUUCCCUGUCCUCUAGUUACCUUGGCUCCCUCAUGUCUCUUGCGCAUACCCAGCCUAUCAACCUUGAGAUAUACAGCAAUCCUUCCCUACAUAGCCCUGUGCCUGGCUCCCUCAUCUCCUUUAGGUCUUCACUCAGAAAAGACGUAUUCUAGUAGCAGAAACUGGACUGAGUUUCAGAACAGAGUAACCAAGGUAGUUGUAUAAGUCUGUUUUCUGUUAAGUAACUAUGGCAAAAUACGUAAACCUUGGACUGGCAAGAUGGCUCACUGGGUAAAGAACCGUGCCACCAAGCUGAUGACUUGAGUUUGAUUUCUAGGACCUACAUGAUAGAAAGAGAGAGAAUUGAUUCCUGCAGGUUGUCUUGUGACUUCCACAUACAUACUGCAGCAUGCACACAGCUCCUCCAUAAGAUAAAAUGUAAUGGAGGGGAAAUUCUUUAAAAGAAGCUUAUUUUUAAGAAAGAAAUUUAACCAGGUGUGGUUGUACACACCUAUAAUCAUAGUAUGUUAUUGGUGGAGGUUGGAGACCUGGAGUUUUAAAGCAAUCUUUCCUUGGUCUACAAUGCAAAUUUGAGGCCACUCUGGGCUUCAUGAGACCCUGUAUUAAGACUUGAAAACUAAAAAAAAAAAAAAAAAAAAAAAAAAAAAAAAAAAAAAAAAAAAAAAAAUUAAAAGCCAAAACCAAUUUAGGCUUGUAGUUUGGAAGUUCAAGGUCAUUGCUUUGACAUCAGCUCUGUUCUGGUAAAGACCUCAUGAAGGAUUGAAGUAGCUGUGAGUGGGUGAGGCCCUCUGGCAAGACAGGAGAUCAGGGAACAGAAAGGGGCAGUUCUGUACUUUUAUAGCAACCAUCUAGCUAGGGUCCCAAGAGAACAAUAUUAACUCCUUCCUCAGUCAGCCCUCCAAGUUAUGAUAGCCACCCUGCCUCUUAGAGAUCUCACUAUCUCUUAGCACUCCUACUGGGGGCCAGGCUGACAGCUUAUCCUCAGCUUUUGGGGAACUUUUAAAAAUAAGGUCUUGCUAUGUAGCUGAGGCUGGUGUAAAACUUACUAUGUAGUCUAGGCUGGCCUCAGACCUGUGAUCCUCCUGGGGCUGAGGUGGCAUGUCAAGAGUUACGGUUUUGUUGCAGUCAAAGAAGUGUAAUGCCCCUAUAAAAUGUGUCCUUCAUGACUUAAAGCAGUAGGGAGUUGUGGCAACACUGAACUUGGGGCAGUUGGUGAAUGGGAGGUAGGGUUAUUUGAUGAGGUUAUGGGAGAGGCUGUAGGAUCAGGUGUGAGUUAGUCCCAGGAUGAACACAAAGUAGCCAGGUUGGUGACCUUAAGAAGCUGGUAGCUGACUGAGGGAGAAGAUGAAAUGAUAGGUUUGUAUUAUUUAGGAGAGGGGAUGUUAAAGAGGUUACAGCCUUGGAGGAAACAUCUAUAUCCAAUCAGGUAGAGUCGAAUACAGCUGCCAGGUUGAAGGCUCAAUCUUCUGGAAUUGGGGACAAGGUGACUGAUCUCGGUGUCCUCUGAAACUUAAGGGAUCGGGGUUGUUGGAGUUGAUAUGUAGGAAAGGAAGUUGUCUUGAGGCAAAGGAGUGAAGGUAGGAUAGGUGGAUCCAUUGAGGGAGGCCCUCAAACUUAGUAGCUGUGGGGAUACAAGAAUUACCUUAAAGGGGCCCUGCCAUUUAAGAGAAAAGGAUGAAGGGUGAUGGUCUGGAGAAAAGAGAAGGUCCUGAUCACCAAUGUUGACUGGCGAUAGACAUGAGUUGGCAUAUAGUCGGGGUUGGUAGUAGUCAGUACAUUUCCACAGGAGGAGGAGAGAUGACCAAGUAAGAGAGUGAGCAGGUGAUCAGGGAGAGGAGAGGGUUUGGAUGAUGACCACUGAUCAUCUAUCUAUACCUGAGCUCAAAUGGCAAUGAUGAAAAGAGGUCGCUUGUUGAGAGCCUGAGAAGGAAGGGCCAGUGGUAGGAGUUUUACCCACCUGAGGUGAAGUUCAUGUGAGAGUUUGACAAGAGUGGUUUUGUUUUUUUGUUUUGCUUGUUUUUGGUUUUGGUUUUGGUUUUUUGAGACAGGGUUUCUCUGUAUAGCCCUGGCUGUCCUGGAACUCUGUAGACCAGGCUGGCCUCGAACUCAGAAAUCCACCUGCCUCUGCCUCCCGAGUGCUGGGAUUAAAGGCCACCACGCCUGGCUGACAAGAGUGUUUUUAAAGGAGCCGUUAGUUUGUUCUAUCUUGCCUGAGGACUAGGGAUGGAAUGGAAUAUAGAAAUGCCAAAGGAUGUUGAGAGUUUUAAAUAGGGCUUGGGAAAUAUGGGAGAUGAAUUCAGGGCCAUUGUCCAACUGGAGGGAGGUGGGGAAUGAUUUCCUGGGGUAGGAGAUCGGAGACUGUCUGGACUGUCUGAGCCUUUUUGUUGGUAGUGGGGAAUGCUUUUGUCCAUCCUGAGAAGGUAUCCUCCUCCAAGACCAGGAGGAACCUGAUGUGUUUGCUUGUGGGCAUGUUGAUAAGGUCAAGUUGUUAGUAGGUUCUGAGAGAGUGCCUCUGACCUGGUGAGUAGAAAAAGGGGGCUGUGAUAACUGGAGUUGGGGGUCUAAUAUUUGACAGAUUUUAUAAGAGAUAGUAGUAAUUGCCCUUAAGAAAUGCAAAUCCUUAGGGGUGGGCUACAGACAGGGCCUUAAAGAAGUGAGACAGCCUCAGCUAUUAGGGCAAAAGGGCUGGAGCAGAUAGGGCAGAAAAUUUUGAGUGUCAGAAGGUGAUAGUGGAGGUGUGGGUUAUAACACAAGGAUGUCCUGUUGUGGGUUAAAUGGAUCCAGGCCUCCAAGGGCUGCAGCUCUAGCCACCUCAUUUGCUCAGUUAUUUCCCUUAGAGAUGAUGGAAUUCUCAGUCUUGUGGGACCGGCAGAACACAGUUUCUAUAGCCUUGGGGAGAUGGGAGGCCAUGAUUUAGUCUGAGUUUGUUACUGAUCUUCCUUUUGUUGUAAAUAGUCUGUGCUCUUUCCAGAUGCGGUAUGGGACAGGAGGACGUGAAAGGCAUAUCUAGAGUCUGAGUAGAUGUUUAGGGAUUGUCUAUGUGCCAUUUGGAAGGCACGGGUGAGAACUCUUAGUUCAUCCUGUUGAUAAGUUGUGUGGGCAGGAGGGCUGUACCUUAGCUCAGCCACCUCAAUCUCUGACACUAUGGCAUAGCCUGCUUUUCAGGCCCCAUUGUGUGAAAAGGAGCUGCCAUCUAAAUGCCAGGUAGAGAUGGCCUGAGGCAGUGUACCCUCCUGUAUGUUCUAGGGAUGGGGUAGUAGUUCCUUUAAGAUUUCAAUGCAAGAAUGAGAUGAGGAAUGGUAUGUUAUUGGUCAGGGAAGAAGAAUUUAGAAGUUGAGGCGUGGGCACCAUUGGAAAGUAAGUGUGGCAUUUUCUUCUAGUGCCAAUGGAGGAGAACCCAAGAGAGAAGUGGAGUUUGUAAGCCUUUAUACAUUAGGAGGUAAGACAGGUUGUGAGAGGAGACGAUAGCAGUAGGUGACCUAUUAGGAUUCAUGAAUAAGGAGCUCAGCAGCUGUGAAAGUGCGUACACAGGGUGACCAUCUCUGGGUGGUAAGGUCUAAUUCUUUUUGAUAGGUGUGCCAUGGGUGCAAAGGAAGGUUCUAGUUGGUGGCUUAAGACCCUGCCUUAGUGUUUCAUUGCUGUGAAGAGACACCAUGACCAAGGCAACUCUUAUAAAGGACAAUGUUUAAUUGGGGCUGGCUUACAGUUUCAGAGGUUCAGUCCAUUAUCAUCAUGGUGGGAAGCAUGGCGGCAUCCAGGCAGACAUGAUACUGGAAGAGCCGAGAAUUUUAUGUCUUGAUCCAAAAGCGGCCAGAAGACCUGAAUCACACUCACUGGCUAGCAUGAAUAUGAGACCCCCAAAGCCCCACCUCCACAGUGACACACUUCCUCUAACAAGGCUACACCUCCUCCACAAAGGCCACACCUCCUAAUAAUGCCACUUCCUAUGGGCCAAGUAUAUUCAAACUACCACAGACUGAGGGUAUAUCCCUCAUUUUCUGUUAUAUAAA
Long non-coding RNA from Mus musculus (house mouse), 15233 nucleotides. RefSeq annotates it as predicted gene, 57820. NCBI's taxonomy places the organism in Eukaryota, Metazoa, Chordata, Mammalia, Rodentia, Muridae. The transcript has 2 exons. The record is from RefSeq and is a predicted model, not a curated record.